This is a long non-coding RNA of Canis lupus familiaris (dog), 447 nucleotides long. RefSeq lists it as uncharacterized. The record is from RefSeq and is a predicted model, not a curated record. The transcript is spliced from 4 exons. Lineage: Eukaryota; Metazoa; Chordata; Mammalia; Carnivora; Canidae.
UGUGUGUGCACGUGUGCAUUUUAUUUUGCUUUUUGAUCCUCAGACUAUAAUUAUAAAUCCUGAUUCACUCAUGUUGAAAUGACAUUAACUUGUAUGUUUUCUCUAUGUUUAUUCUUUACUCAGUGAGACGGUGUGAAUUGGAACCGAAGAGAUGGGAGACAACCUUUGAUAUUAUAAACAUUUUAAUUGUUUAUUAAUAUAAAUCGCUAUGAAUUUAUUGAGGUCAGGAAGCUACGGGUAUUCCACGCCCAGAAGAGUUUAAGUGACCCCACAUUAGUCCCUCUUUUGACAAAUUGUCAGAGAUAUGAGGUAUAAUACUCUCAUGAUCCCGGGCAGCAGCAGCGAAUUCUGGCUCCCAGUCAGCCACAGGAUCACAAAGACUAACAUGUCUAAAUGAAAGUAAUUGCCCUCUUUAAUGUGUGAAUAUCAAUAAAAAGAUGUACAAAA